AUUGAACGCUGGCGGCAGGCUUAACACAUGCAAGUCGAGCGGGGGAAGGUAGCUUGCUACCGGACCUAGCGGCGGACGGGUGAGUAAUGCUUAGGAAUCUGCCCAUUAGUGGGGGACAACAUCUCGAAAGGGAUGCUAAUACCGCAUACGUCCUACGGGAGAAAGCAGGGGAUCUUCGGACCUUGCGCUAAUAGAUGAGCCUAAGUCGGAUUAGCUAGUUGGGGGGGUAAAGGCCUACCAAGGCGACGAUCUGUAGCGGGUCUGAGAGGAUGCUCCACCCACGUGGAACGAGGACGCGGCCCUGAACCUCGGGGGGGGCGGAAGGGGGGAAUUUUGGACAAGGGGGGGAACCUGGUCCCAGCCAUGCCGGGUUUGUGAGGAAGUCUUUAUGGUUGUAAAGCAUUUUAAGCGAGGAGGAGGCUACUCUAGUUAAUACCUGGGGAUAGUGGACGUUACUCGAAAAAUAAGCACCGGCUAACUCUGUGCCAGCCGCCGCCGUAA
Molecule: ribosomal RNA, 501 nt
Filed under: uncultured bacterium
Lineage: Bacteria
Description: partial 16S ribosomal RNA
Rfam family: Bacterial small subunit ribosomal RNA
Source: RNAcentral